This is a long non-coding RNA of Sinocyclocheilus grahami, 512 nucleotides long. RefSeq lists it as uncharacterized. The transcript has 4 exons. The record is from RefSeq and is a predicted model, not a curated record. NCBI's taxonomy places the organism in Eukaryota, Metazoa, Chordata, Actinopteri, Cypriniformes, Cyprinidae.
UUGACCACGCCCACUACGUUUCCCCGGAAUCCCCGCCACUGCCACCGCAGUCUGACAGAAGAGCGAGCGAGGUUGUAUCAUGGCGAGCAACAGGUCGUUUACUGGGAAGAAGAUUUGGUGUUGAUGGAGGAGGCAACAUCUUCAAGGCAAAACCUUAGACCUCAUUCAACAUCAUCCAAUGUUGCAAUCACCCUCAGGAGGCACUUGAAGACCAGUGUCCAAUAUGCACAGGAACAUUUCCAGUGUCAGAAGUAGAACUGCCAUGCCAGCUUUUGUGGAGAAAGACUGCGGUGGCAGUGGCGGGGAUUCCGGGGAAACGUAGUGGGCGUGGUCAACCUGUGACUUCACUCGAGAGUGACCAGUAGAAAAAGGCCUUUCAUCCUGGUGGGUAGAGACCGCCCACUGAGAGACAGCUUCACUCGCAAGCAAAACUUUUCAACUUGCAAACAAAAGUUUUAGACCCGCAAAAAAAGACGGCAGAAAAGAGUCACAUUUGUGGUAUCGCGAUGAAA